Alligator mississippiensis (American alligator) is the source of this 97-nucleotide small nucleolar RNA. It matches the Rfam family "Small nucleolar RNA SNORD35". Rfam says of the family: U35 is a C/D box snoRNA located in intron 6 of ribosomal protein L13A and intron 3 of ribosomal protein S11 in humans and at homologous positions in mouse and chicken ribosomal protein genes. U35 guides the methylation of 2'-O-ribose sites in 28S rRNA. Lineage: Eukaryota; Metazoa; Chordata; Crocodylia; Alligatoridae. The record is from Rfam.
UGGUGAUGAUGUCUAAACUCACGAUGGUCUGCAGAGCCCCUGUUGUGCUCUUGGGGGCUGCUGAAAAUGCCAAUUGAGCUCUUGCUGAACCGUAAAG